Molecule: non-coding RNA, 96 nt
Organism: Arcanobacterium haemolyticum DSM 20595
Lineage: Bacteria; Bacillati; Actinomycetota; Actinomycetes; Actinomycetales; Actinomycetaceae
Rfam family: Bacterial small signal recognition particle RNA
About the family: The signal recognition particle (SRP) is a universally conserved ribonucleoprotein involved in the co-translational targeting of proteins to membranes. Archaeal SRP consists of a 7S RNA and homologues of the eukaryotic SRP19 and SRP54 proteins.
Source: Rfam
UUCGACUCCUCACGUGGCGUCAUCUUCGGUUAAUUCCCCAGGGCAGGAAUGCAGCAAGGAGACCGGGCUCUGGCGGGUGCGUGGGGAGUCCUUUUA